Molecule: ribosomal RNA, 301 nt
Filed under: uncultured bacterium
Lineage: Bacteria
Description: partial 16S ribosomal RNA
Rfam family: Bacterial small subunit ribosomal RNA
Source: RNAcentral
CAGUAGCCGCGGUAAUACGUAGGUGGCAAGCGUUGUCCGGAAUUAUUGGGCGUAAAGGGCUCGCAGGCGGUUUCUUAAGUCUGAUGUGAAAGCCCCCGGCUCAACCGGGGAGGGUCAUUGGAAACUGGGAAACUUGAGUGCAGAAGAGGAGAGUGGAAUUCCACGUGUAGCGGUGAAAUGCGUUGAGAUCGGAAAGAACACCAACGGCGAAAGCACUCUGCUGGGCCGACACUGACACUGAGAGACGAAAGCUAGGGGAGCAAAUGGGAUUAGAUACCCCUGUAGUCCCUGUCUCUUAUAC